UGGUUAGACAGCUACAGCAUAUGGUGGAUGCCUUGGCACAAAACAGCGACGAAGGACGUAGCAGCCUGCGAUAAGCCCCGGGGAGGUGGCAAGCAACCUUUGAUCCGAGGAUUUCCGAAUGGGGAAACCCUAUUCCGAUAAUAUCGGGAUAACCCCGCAGCAAUGUGGGGAGCGUACCCGGUGAAGUGAAACAUCUCAGUAACCGGAGGAACAGAAAAUUAGAAUGAUUCCCUGAGUAGUGGCGAGCGAAAAGGGAUUAGCCGAAACGUAUUUGACUAUUGUUCGUGUAAUUCGUUAUUCGAAAGAAUGAUUGGAAAGCAUAUUCAUGAAGGCGCAAGGGCCACAUGUCUUAUACGUGUUAAAAGAGAGCAGUGAUUUCAUCCUUGAAAAUGAGAGAGAGAGGAAUCCCCUUCGGGGGUUUGAUUCUUAGGAGAAAGGCCUGGAACGGCCUGCCAGAGAAGGUGAUAGCCCUGUAAACGAAAAGAAUUAAAACUCUCUGAUUGUUUAUCUUGAGUACCACGAGGCUCGAGAAACCUUGUGGGAAGUCCGGCCGACUAUAGGUCGAAGGCUAAAUAUGUUUUGUGACCGAUAGCGUAUAGUACCGUGAGGGAAAGGUGAAAAGCAGCCCGGUGAGGGCGAUGAAAUAGUAUCUGAAACCAUAUGCGAACAAAGAGUCAGAGCCUUGGCGCAAGCCGGGGUGAUGGCGUUCCUAUUGAAGAAUGAUCCAACGAGUUUAUUCCACGUUGCUCGUCUAAGUCACUGCGGUGACGGAGGCAGAGCGAAAGCGAGUCUUACAAGGGCGUUACCUUUGAUAUAUCGACAGUUCGAUGCUUCGAACUAUCGAUAUAUCUUGGGUAGGCAGCGUGGAUGAGACCCGAACGGGGGUGAGCUAGCCAUGGCCAGGGUGAACCUUGUCGAAAGACAAGGGGAGGCCCGAACACACGAGCCGUGCAACACUUGGUGAUGAGCUGUGGCUAGGGGAGAAAUUCCAAUCGAACCCCCUAAUAGCUGGUUCUCCUCGAAAUAGCUUAAGGGCUAGCCUCGGAUGUUCCUUGCAGGGGUAGAGCACUGAAUGGGGUGCGAUAGCGCAAGCUUACGUACCUCAACCAAACUCCGAAUACUGCAAAUUAAUAAUCCGGGAGUCAGACGAUGGGGGCGAAGCUCCAUUCGUCAUAAGGGAAACAGCCCAUGACCACCAUCUAAGGUCCCUAAAUGUAUGUUCAGUGUAAAAGGUAGUGAGGCGACUUGGACAACGAGGAGGUUGGCUUAGAAGCAGCCAUCCUUUAAAGAAAGCGUAACAGCUCACUCGUCAAGUUGCCUUGCGCCGAAAAUGCAACGGGGCUAAACAUACUACCGAAGGUGUGGACUGUGCCGAUUUAUCGGCAUAUGUGGUAGAGGAGCGUCCUGUUUGCGAUGAAGCGUACGCCGUAAGGCGGCGUGGAGCGGACAGGAGUGCGAAUGUUGGAAUAAGUAGCAAAAAGUCAAGUGAAAACCUUGACCACCGUAAAUCCAAGGUUUCCUGGGCAACGCAACUCGACCCAGGGUGAGUCGAUCCUAAGGUGAGGCCCCAAAGGCGUAACCGAUGGAAGAGCAGGUUAAUAUUCCUGCACUACCGUACGAGUCAUUUCUUCGUGCGCUUUCAUGUGGUGCGUGUGUGCUUUGGAUAUGCACAUGUAUUCUGCAGCAAUGCAGAGGACGCAGGUGAAGUCGCAAGACCGAGCCAAUACGCAUAAAGUGAGAGCCAAGAAAAGCGAAGAAACUUUGUCGUGCGGUACCCGUACCGUAAACCGACACAGGUGGAUGGGGAGAGUAUCCCAAGGUGUACGAGAGAACCCUCGCUCAGGAACUCGGCAAUAUAACGACCGUAACUUCGGGAUAAGGUCUGCCCCGCGCAAGCGGGGCCGCAGCGAAAGACGCUUGGCGACUGUUUAACAAAAACACAGGUCCCUGCGAAGCCGUAAGGCAAAGUAUAGGGACUGAUGCCUGGCCAGUGUCAGAACGUUACGAGGAGAGGUCAUCCCGUCGCAAGACGGGGGCAGCCUUGAAUCUAAGCGCUGAUGAACGCCGGCGAUAACUAUAAUCGUCCUAAGGUGGAUCUACUGCCUUAGUGGAGUGUAAGACUCCCUUCGAACUUCGUAUGCCGCGGAGAUGUAGAAGAAAAUUUGGCUGUAUGCUGGAAUCUCUGUCGUAUCUGGAGCUACUAUGGUAUAAUUCGACCAUAGAAUUAUGCCACGUAAAAAUGCUUCCAGUGCAGACAACCAGCAGGAAAGACUAGCGAUUCCAUCGUGGAUUGUUGGUUUUGUUGAUGGAGAAGGAAGUUUUCUUAUUAGCCUUUUCCGAAACAUAACAACAAAACAUGGAUGGCAAGUGUUCCCCGAGUUUAUCGUGACGCAAGGUGCAAAGAGCGUUCAUGUUCUUCAUGAAAUGCAAAAAUUCUUCAAUUGUGGAAAGGUGUUUGUGAACCGACGAUCAGACAAUCAUCAUGAACAUCUCUAUCGUUUCUGUGUGCGAUCGAUGAAAGAUCUUCGCGAGAAGAUUAUUCCAUUUUUUGAUCACUACAGAUUACGAACCGCGAAACGAGAAGAUUUCAUGAAAUUCAAGAAAGCGCUCAAACUUAUGGAAAAGAAAAUCCAUUCUACUAAAGAUGGGUUGGAGAAGAUUAGAAAUAUCGCGUCAACGAUGAAUCGGAAAGGAAUGCAAAAACGUUAGAAUCCUCAGAGACUAUACGCCAGACCCGCCAAUGUGGCGUGGAAGAUAUAGUCCGAACUGUAUGGCGACAUGCAGAAUCCGAACACUCAAUCGGAUCAAUCAUAGUGAUUGUAACAUUAUUAAGCGAAAUCCCUUGUCGGGUGAGUUCCGACCUGCACGAAUGGCCUAACGACCAAGCGACUGUCUUAGCGAGGGACUCGGCGAAAUUGCAAGACCUGUGAAGAUGCAGGUUACCCACGGCUAGACGAAAAGACCCCGUGAAGCUUUACUACAACUUGCUAUUGGAUUUUAUGAAAAUAUGUUCAGCGUAGGUGGGAGCCGCAAGGCGCCAAUGAGACACCACCCUUGUUUUUAUGGAAUUCUAACCAACGGUUAUUAUCUAACCGUGGGACAGUAGCUGGUGGGUAGUUUACCUGGGGCGGGUGCCUCCUAAAAAGUAACGGAGGCGUAUACAAAGGUAGGCUUAGCUCGGAUGGAAAUCGAGCAUGACGCGCAAACGCACAAGCCUGCUUGACUGCGAGUCUGACAGGACGAGCAGCUACGAAAGUAGAUGUUAGUGAUCCGACCAUUCAACAUAGGAUGGUGGAAGCUCAUCGGAUAAAAGCUACUCCGGGGAUAACAGGCUGAUCGCCUCCAAGAGCUCAUAUCGACGAGGCGGUUUGGCACCUCAACACAAUCGGGGUGCACAAACAGUAAUGUUUAUCCUCAUAAGUUCGUCUAAACUGUAUAAAAGUUAGAUAGAUAGGAAAGAGACAAAUCGGCUUAUAACGGUGAACCCGUAUCCGCUUCACGGCGGACGGCAACACCGUGGGAAGUCAGCACUGCUAUGCAGUGGAAUGUCUAAUUAACCUAAUUAACCUAAUUCCUAAAAUUUAGAAAUUAGAAUAAUUAGAAAUUAGAAAUUUAGCGCGUAGCGCUCAUGACCCCGUAACGACUGACCCGAAAGGGAAGAUUCACCUCGUCUUAUAGGUGGAUCACACGCCGACUCUUGCACAAGUCAUAACUGAGAUCAUGCGGGUCACGCUCCGACCUUACGUCGGAGUCCGCUAUCAUCCAGCGCAAGAAGAAGAUAUAGUCUACGCCACACGAAAUUGUGGAAUCAAGUACGAUGUCGGCUCAUCGCAUCCUGGUGGUGGAGAAGCUACCAAGGGUUUGGCUGUUCGCCAAUUAAAGCGGUACGCGAGCUGGGUUCAGAACGUCGUGAGACAGUUCGGUCUCCUAUCUGUCGUGGGCGCGGAAAUUUGCGGAGAUUCUUCCCUAGUACGAGAGGACCGGGAAGGAUGAACCUCUGAUGUACCGGUUGUUCUACCAAGAGCAUCGCCGGGUAGUCAAGUUCAGUUCGGAUAAGCGCUGAAAGCAUCUAAGCGCGAAGCCUCCUCCAAGAUCAGAUUUCGUUAUUGAGGUCCCGUGUAGACUACACGGUAUAUAGGCGAUACGUGUAAGACCCGUAAGGGUUUCAGCGGAGUCGUCCUAAUAGACCCAUUGUUUAACCACA
Molecule: ribosomal RNA, 4204 nt
Filed under: bacterium
Lineage: Bacteria
Description: 23S ribosomal RNA
Rfam family: Bacterial large subunit ribosomal RNA
Source: RNAcentral